GAGUUUGAUCGUGGCUCAGAUUGAACGCUGGCGGCAGGCUUAACACAUGCAAGUCGAGCGGAAACGAUGUAGCUUGCUACAGGCGUCGAGCGGCGGACGGGUGAGUAACGCGUAGGAAUCUGCCUAGUAGUGGGGGACAACAUGUGGAAACGCAUGCUAAUACCGCAUACGCCCUACGGGGGAAAGGAGGGAUCUUCGGACCUUUCGCUAUUAGAUGAGCCUGCGUAAGAUUAGCUAGUUGGUAGGGUAAAGGCCUACCAAGGCGACGAUCUUUAACUGGUCUGAGAGGAUGGCCAGUCACACUGGGACUGAGACACGGCCCAGACUCCUACGGGAGGCAGCAGUGGGGAAUAUUGGACAAUGGGCGCAAGCCUGAUCCAGCCAUGCCGCGUGUGUGAAGGAGGCCUUAGGGUUGUAAAGCACUUUCA
Molecule: ribosomal RNA, 428 nt
Filed under: uncultured microorganism
Description: bacterial SSU rRNA
Rfam family: Bacterial small subunit ribosomal RNA
Source: RNAcentral